CCUAGCUGGUCUGAGAGGAUGACCAGCCACACUGGAACUGAGACACGGUCCAGACUCCUACGGGAGGCAGCAGUGGGGAAUAUUGCACAAUGGGCGCAAGCCUGAUGCAGCCAUGCCGCGUGUAUGAAGAAGGCCUUCGGGUUGUAAAGUACUUUCAGCGAGGAGGAAGGCAUUAAGGUUAAUAACCUUGGUGAUUGACGUUACUCGCAGAAGAAGCACCGGCUAACUCCGUGCCAGCAGCCGCGGUAAUACGGAGGGUGCAAGCGUUAAUCGGAAUUACUGGGCGUAAAGCGCACGCAGGCGGUCUGUCAAGUCGGAUGUGAAAUCCCCGGGCUCAACCUGGGAACUGCAUUCGAAACUGGCAGGCUAGAGUCUUGUAGAGGGGGGUAGAAUUCCAG
RNAcentral lists this ribosomal RNA (398 nucleotides) under Klebsiella aerogenes. Its description in RNAcentral is "bacterial SSU rRNA". It matches the Rfam family "Bacterial small subunit ribosomal RNA", at positions 282 to 672 of the family's 1533-position model. The record is from RNAcentral. Lineage: Bacteria; Pseudomonadati; Pseudomonadota; Gammaproteobacteria; Enterobacterales; Enterobacteriaceae.